UUAGAGGAAGGAGAAGUCGUAACAAGGUUCCGUAGGGUGAACCUGCGGAAGGAUCAUUGUCGAACCUGCUUCAUGCAAAAAUUCGCGACCAUUCUCGUCCCGCUCCUAACAACCAAAGGCGCGGGAUGCGCCAAGGAAAAUGGAAACGAAUCUGACUCCUGCCUCGGUGCAUUGCAUCGUGUCGGCGAGUGUAUUCGAUAAGUCAUAACGACUCUCGGCAACGGAUAUCUCGGCUCUCGCAUCGAUGAAGAACGUAGCAAAAUGCGAUACGUGGUGUGAAUUGCAGGAUCCCGUGAACCAUCGAGUUUUUGAACGCAAGUUGCGCCCGAAGCCUUUAGGCCGAGGGCACGUCUGCCUGGGCGUCACGCACCGUUGCCCCCCAAACCCCCUCAGUCCUCCACGGAGGACUGGCGAGGCGCGUGGGGGGCGUAAAGUGGCUUCCCGUCGGCUUUGUCCCGCGGUUGGCCUAAAAAUGAAUCCCUAGCCGCGGUGCGCGCGGCAUUCGGUGGUCAUCGAUCCCUUUCGUUACCCCGCCGCGCGCUCACGUGCCGCGAAGGAUGUCACACUAGUAAACCCGACGCCUCGCUUUGUGAAGAGCGGAGCUUACAACGCGACCCCAGGUCAGGCGGGGCUACCCGCUGAA
Molecule: ribosomal RNA, 643 nt
Filed under: embryophyte environmental sample
Lineage: Eukaryota; Viridiplantae; Streptophyta
Description: eukaryotic LSU rRNA
Rfam family: 5.8S ribosomal RNA (bases 210-365)
Source: RNAcentral